GGGGUUGACCGGAUUUGACAGCAGGUUGAGUUGGAGUGUAAGCAUGCCGGGCGUUGUGAACAUGGCCCGUAAAACCUAAUUCUCAAGCCACAUAAAUGGCAACGAUUACAAUUACGCUUUAGCUGCUUAAUACAAUUAUUAAGCACGAGCUGUUUCCCCGGAAACCUCUCUCAACGGUGUCCGGUGUGAAGCAUCGCAAAUGUUGAGAUAAGCUGCAUAGAUUCCCGAUGUGCGGACGAAAAUUUCAGGGAAUAAGGAAAUAGUUGGAUUGCUUUUUUCCGGCUGCUUCUCGAAAACCAAGUAAAAGCUAAGCAUGUAGAAAGCAUUUUGGCUGCUUGUUUGGACGAGGGUUCGACUCCCUCCAACUCCACAA
This 373-nucleotide transfer-messenger RNA is filed under the name Bacteroidales. RNAcentral's name for it is "CAINEZ01 sp013334735 Standard tmRNA". It matches the Rfam family "transfer-messenger RNA". From Rfam's summary of the family: Bacterial tmRNA, also known as 10Sa RNA or SsrA, is named for its dual tRNA and mRNA-like properties. Its role is to liberate the mRNA from a stalled ribosome. To accomplish this part of the tmRNA is used as a reading frame that ends in a translation stop signal. Lineage: Bacteria; Pseudomonadati; Bacteroidota; Bacteroidia. The record is from RNAcentral. RNAcentral also lists the same sequence under 1 other name.